Drosophila sulfurigaster albostrigata is the source of this 833-nucleotide long non-coding RNA. RefSeq lists it as uncharacterized. The record is from RefSeq and is a predicted model, not a curated record. NCBI's taxonomy places the organism in Eukaryota, Metazoa, Arthropoda, Insecta, Diptera, Drosophilidae. The transcript is spliced from 2 exons.
GAGCUAAAGAAUUUUGUAAUCGAAAUAUAUUUGUAUACUCGUUAAAUGCAUAAUAAGCUAAGUACAUCAAGUGUGUGAAAAACUUCAAGAAGUUGAGCGCUCCUUGAAGAUUCUGAUAUGGAAAAUUCACCAAAAUUGCCAAGUUAAUUGUUAUUGUUAAUUGUUAGCCUAUUGAGUCUGCGAAGUCUGCUAAUCUGGGCUCAUAUUUUGGACAUAAGCUAAGCUACGUUUUGAAUCUGAUCUGUUUGUAUUGCCAUUUUAUACAAAUAAUUACAUACAAUACAUAUAGUAAUAAAAUCUUUGUUUACAAAUACAUAAUAUUUUACAAUAUUAUCCAUUAGGUAUAAUAGUUAUAUUAAACAUAUUAGAAUGCGUUCGUCUUUUUUGUUUGUUACAACUAACAUUUAAAUAAGUUUGAAUAAAAUGCUUAAAUCGUAAACGUAAAUAUAAUGAAAAAGAAUUACACACACACAAUAAUCAGCAAAUCAGAGGGGACAAAAAUAUUGAGGAAUAUAAAAGAGUUGAUAAAAGAAUACACAUAUGUAGAAACAUUCAAUUUAUGUCGAGUUCCAUAAUUGAACUCUAAAGUAACUAGGCAAUUUUAGUUUUGGGUUUUGUUGAGUGCGCGCAUUCUUUUGUUAAGUACGAGUAAACUAGGCCUAAUACGUAUUUUAGUUAAUCUUCGUAUUUUUUUUUUUGGUUUUAGUGUUCAAAGCGGCAACAAAAGGCAACUGUGGUGUCGUUUUGUAAGCUAUAAGUACACUUGAUUUGUCUUUCUUGUAUUUUUUUUUCCUUUUUAUGUUACUUUUUCAUUGUUUCGUUCAAUUUUUUUU